GAGUACGGUCGCAAGAUUAAAACUCAAAUGAAUUGACGGGGGCCCGCACAAGCGGUGGAGCAUGUGGUUUAAUUCGACGCAACGCGAAGAACCUUACCUACUCUUGACAUCUAGCGAAGACUGCAGAGAUGCGGUUGUGCCUUCGGGAACGCUAAGACAGGUGCUGCAUGGCUGUCGUCAGCUCGUGUUGUGAAAUGUUGGGUUAAGUCCCGCAACGAGCGCAACCCUUAUCCUUAGUUGCCAGCACGUAAUGGUGGGAACUCUAGGGAGACUGCCGGUGAUAAACCGGAGGAAGGUGGGGACGACGUCAAGUCAUCAUGGCCCUUACGAGUAGGGCUACACACGUGCUACAAUGGUAUGUACAGAGGGAGGCAAGCUGGCGACAGUGAGCGGAUCUCUUAAAGCAUAUCGUAGUCCGGAUCGCAGUCUGCAACUCGACUGCGUGAAGUCGGAAUCGCUAGUAAUCGCAAAUCAGAAUGUUGCGGUGAAUACGUUCCCGGG
This 501-nucleotide ribosomal RNA is filed under the name uncultured bacterium. RNAcentral's name for it is "bacterial SSU rRNA". It matches the Rfam family "Bacterial small subunit ribosomal RNA", at positions 878 to 1378 of the family's 1533-position model. The record is from RNAcentral.